RNAcentral lists this ribosomal RNA (844 nucleotides) under uncultured bacterium. RNAcentral's name for it is "bacterial SSU rRNA". It matches the Rfam family "Bacterial small subunit ribosomal RNA", at positions 8 to 863 of the family's 1533-position model. The record is from RNAcentral.
AGAGUUUGAUCCUGGCUCAGGACGAACGCUGGCGGCGUGCUUAACACAUGCAAGUCGAACGAUGAACCGGUUUCGGCCGGGGAUUAGUGGCGAACGGGUGAGUAACACGUGGGUAAUCUGCCCCGCACUCUGGGAUAAGCCCGGGAAACUGGGUCUAAUACCGGAUAUACAUCGAUGGUCGCAUGGCCUGUCGGUGGAAAGCUUUUGCGGUGUGGGAUGGGCCCGCGGCCUAUCAGCUUGUUGGUGGGGUGAUGGCCUACCAAGGCGACGACGGGUAGCCGGCCUGAGAGGGUGACCGGCCACACUGGGACUGAGACACGGCCCAGACUCCUACGGGAGGCAGCAGUGGGGAAUAUUGCACAAUGGGCGAAAGCCUGAUGCAGCGACGCCGCGUGAGGGAUGACGGCCUUCGGGUUGUAAACCUCUUUCAGCAGGGAAGAAGCGCAAGUGACGGUACCUGCAGAAGAAGCACCGGCUAACUACGUGCCAGCAGCCGCGGUAAUACGUAGGGUGCAAGCGUUGUCCGGAAUUAUUGGGCGUAAAGAGCUCGUAGGCGGCUUGUCGCGUCGGUUGUGAAAGCCCGGGGCUUAACCCUGGGUCUGCAGUCGAUACGGGCAGGUUAGAGUUCGGCAGGGGAGACUGGAAUUCCUGGUGUAGCGGUGAAAUGCGCAGAUAUCAGGAGGAACACCGGUGGCGAAGGCGGGUCUCUGGGCCGAUACUGACGCUGAGGAGCGAAAGCGUGGGGAGCGAACAGGAUUAGAUACCCUGGUAGUCCACGCUGUAAACGGUGGGAACUAGGUGUGGGCAGCAUUCCACGUUGUCUGUGCCGUAGCUAACGCAUUAA